Small nuclear RNA from Delphinapterus leucas (beluga whale), 107 nucleotides. The record is from Ensembl. NCBI's taxonomy places the organism in Eukaryota, Metazoa, Chordata, Mammalia, Artiodactyla, Monodontidae.
GUGCUCGCUUCAGCAGCAUUAAUACUAAAAUUGGAACGAUACAGAGAAGAUUAGCAUGGCUCCUAUGCAAGGAUGACACUCAAAUUUGUGAAGCAUUCCAUAUUUUU